RNAcentral lists this long non-coding RNA (2274 nucleotides) under Homo sapiens (human). RNAcentral's name for it is "HSALNT0382539". The record is from RNAcentral. Lineage: Eukaryota; Metazoa; Chordata; Mammalia; Primates; Hominidae.
GGCAGACCUGGUCUCUGCCCCAAAGUUCAUUCCAGUCAUUUAAGAGGAAGGAACAGGUUUGUAAAGGAGCCUCCCCUGUGGUCCUUGAGUGACAUGAUGAGGGCUUAUCAGGCUCUGAAUCCAUAGGGCAGGGACAUCACCACAUCUGGGCACCCUCAGCAAGCUGUGACCUGCAGAGUUAACAACAGGCUCUGGAAGCUUGGCGCUCACUCAGCUCCCAGAAGUUCUCAGAGGGUGAGGGUCCCACAUCUCCUGCAGGACAGGCCCUAGCUACUGAGUCACAGAAACCCAGGGCCGAAGCAAAGUCCCAAUCCCAGAGAGGCUGGGGCACACCUACAACUGAAAGGAGGCUUAGAAAUCCUUCAGAGACCACCCUAUCGGUUCUCCUCCACCUGGACAGGAUGAGCCAGCAACACAGAAGGAAGAGGCCUUCCUCCGAAAGACAGGUUUCUAAGACAGCCACCGAUGGGUCCUACCUCCUCGUAUUCACAUCCUAUGUAAUCUCCUCCCCAGUGUGGGCUGGACCUGGUGACUUGCUUCCAGUGAAUAGAAUAUAGCAAAAGUGAUUGAUGUCACCUCCAAGAUUCAGCUAUAGAAGACUAUGACUAUGACUUUCCUCUUGGCUAGCAUUCUCGCUAACCCUUCCUGCUUGCUUGUACUGAGCUGCCCUAUGAAGAGGCCCAUGUAGGGUGGCCUGGGUGGGGGUGAUCUGUGGCCAACAGCCAGCAAGGAACUAAAUCCUGUUUACAACCACAUGAGCUUGGAAGGAGAUCCUUCCCCAGUAAAGCCAGGAGAUGAAUACAGCCCCAGCCUCCAGCUUCAUUGCAGCAUCGUGAGACACCCACAAGCAGGACUCAGCUAAGCCACAGCCAGAAUUCUGUCCCACAGAACUUCAAGACAACUAGUGCUGUUGCUUUUCAGCUGCAGAGUUUUGACAUAAUUUGUUGUAUAGCAAUAGCCAGCUAGUUAUCAAUAACCACUAUUGCUCCUAUUGUUUCUCACCACAUAUCCAUAUAGUCAUGAGGAAACCUCUUUAAAUGAGACAAAGAAUCAGAACUAAUAAAAGAUAAGCAAAUUCCUUUAAAUAUACAUUUUAAUUUUACAUGGUAAAAUAUUUCAAACUGAAAGCAACUGAUUUCUAUUUGCAAUUUCACAGAGAAGCUGGAUAUCAUAAAUUCAGCAGAUGAAUGGUAGACUAGAGAAAAUUCAAUGCAUAUGGUAGAUAGUAAAUUAAUAUCUAUAAUGUACAAAUUAAUUUUUAAAAGGCUAAGAAUACCCAUUACAGAAAAGCAUAGCCAAAUGGCUAAUCAGCCUACGAAGAGAUAUUCAAAACCCUUUGAAGUCAGAGAAUUGCAAGACAAAUAGUGUAUUAUCAUUUUCAGCCCACCAGACUGAGAAAAUUAAAAUGAAUUGUAAACCAUCUUUCUGGUAAGCAUUCAGGGAAGCCAGGGAAUUGUUUUAAAUCAUUAGAAAACAAUCUGACUAUAUGUUUUAAAACUAAAAACAUACUCUUUGAUCCUAUAAUCUCACUUCUCGGAUUCUAACCUUAGAAAAAAAUGCACCAAAACAUAAAAUUUUAUGGACAAGAAUGUUUAUUACAGUGUAUUUGUAGUGGCUCCAAACCAGAAACAACUUGCAUGUGUGUCAGUAAAGGGGAUGUUGAAUAAGGUGCAUCAAUAUACUAUGCAGGAUACAAUACCUGUGUAGCAGCAAAUGAGUUUGUGCAUCAGUUUCCAUGUUGACUGAGGACAGCAAUGUUCAGGGUAGUAUGCAUGAGGCUAUCUCAUUUGUUUUUCAAAAGCAAUGAUCCCUCAAAUCUGAUUUUACUCACACACGUGGUAUACGUAAAUAGAUCAGAUAGAUGCAUAGAUACAUAGACAUAGGGACAUAGACACAGACACAGACACAGACAUAGACAUAGACACCAUAGACAUAGAGAGCAGAAUGGAAAAAUACCCAUUAGGUUCUUAACAUAUAUUGGGCAUGGGGUGUAAAGAGAGAAGUGGGGAGAGUGAGUGAAGAGAUAGAAGAGAGGAGGGGGAGAAACAAGCAAAAAAAAAAUGAGAACCUAAAUGAGCAUUUAAAAUGAAGUCUACAGUAAAUGCAGCACAAUCCCACUUGUGUAAAUGUUAUGUGUGUGUGUACACAGAUAUGUGUGUGCAUGAGGACAUACACAAAAUCAUGAUGGUUGGAAGGGUUAAUGGUGACCCUGCCAGGAGGUCUGAUUUCACGGGCUUGCCCCAUCCCCCUUUUUUCUUUAUACUGUUAUGUAUU